RNAcentral lists this ribosomal RNA (502 nucleotides) under uncultured Eubacteriales bacterium. Its description in RNAcentral is "bacterial SSU rRNA". It matches the Rfam family "Bacterial small subunit ribosomal RNA", at positions 8 to 507 of the family's 1533-position model. Lineage: Bacteria; Bacillati; Bacillota; Clostridia; Eubacteriales. The record is from RNAcentral.
AGAGUUUGAGUCCUCGGCUCAGGAUGAACGCUGGCGGCGUGCCUAACACAUGCAAGUCGAACGAAGCAUGCAGGAGAAGCCUCGGGGCGGGCGCCUGGAUGACUGAGUGGCGGACGGGUGAGUAACGCGUGGGCAACCUGCCCCAUACAGGGGGAUAACAGCCGGAACGGCUGCUAAUACCGCAUAAACCAGGGAGGCGCAUGCCUUUGUGGGGAAAGCUCCGGCGGUAUGGGAGGGGCCCGCGUCUGAUUAGCUUGUUGGCGGGGGCAGCGGCCCACCAAGGCGACGAUCAGUAGCCGGCCUGAGAGGGCGGACGGCCACAUUGGGACUGAGACACGGCCCAAACUCCUACGGGAGGCAGCAGUGGGGGAUAUUGCACAAUGGGGGGAAACCCUGAUGCAGCGACGCCGCGUGGGCGAAGAAGUAUUUCGGUAUGUAAAGCCCUAUCAGCAGGGAAGAAGAAAUGACGGUACCUGAGUAAGAAGCACCGGCUAAAUACGUG